CCGAUAUUAUUGGGCCUAAAGCGUCCGUAGCUUGCUGUGUAAGUCCAUUGGGAAAUCCACGCGCUCAACGCGUGGGCGUCCGGUGGAAACUGCACGGCUUGGGGCCGAGAGACUCGACGGGUACGUCCGGGGUAGGAGUGAAAUCCUGUAAUCCUGGACGGACCACCAAUGGCGAAAGCACGUCGAGAGACCGGACCCGACAGUGAGGGACGAAAGCCAGGGUCUCGAACCGGAUUAGAUACCCGGGUAGUCCUGGCUGUAAACGAUGCUCGCUAGGUAUGUCACGCGCCAUGAGCACGUGAUGUGCCGUAGUGAAGACGAUAAGCGAGCCGCCUGGGAAGUACGUCCGCAAGGAUGAAACUUAAAGGAAUUGGCGGGGGAGCACCACAACCGGAGGAGCCUGCGGUUUAAUUGGACUCAACGCCGGACAUCUCACCGGUCCCGACAACAGUCACGACGGUCAGUUUGACGAACUUACCCGAGCUGUUGAGAGGAGGUGCAUGGCCGCCGUCAGCUCGUACCGUGAGGCGUCCUGUUAAGUCAGGCAACGAGCGAGACCCACACUUCUAGUUGCCAGCGAUACCCUCGAGGUAGUCGGGUACACUAGGAGGACUGCCAUUGCUAAAAUGGAGGAAGGAAUGGGCAACGGUAGGUCAGUAUGCCCCGAAUGGACCGGGCAACACGCGGGCUACAAUGGCUGUGACAGAGGGAUGCUACGCCGAGAGGCGACGCUAAUCUCUAAACGCAGUCGUAGUUCGGAUUGCGGGCUGAAACUCGCCCGCAUGAAGCUGGAUUCGGUAGUAAUCG
This 807-nucleotide ribosomal RNA is filed under the name uncultured Haloarcula sp. RNAcentral describes it as "bacterial SSU rRNA". It matches the Rfam family "Archaeal small subunit ribosomal RNA", at positions 495 to 1300 of the family's 1478-position model. Lineage: Archaea; Methanobacteriati; Methanobacteriota; Halobacteria; Halobacteriales; Haloarculaceae. The record is from RNAcentral.